RNAcentral lists this ribosomal RNA (433 nucleotides) under uncultured bacterium. Its description in RNAcentral is "partial 16S ribosomal RNA". It matches the Rfam family "Bacterial small subunit ribosomal RNA", at positions 29 to 507 of the family's 1533-position model. The record is from RNAcentral.
AACGAACGCUGGCGGCAUGCCUAACACAUGCAAGUCGAACGAGACCUUCGGGUCUAGUGGCGCACGGGUGCGUAACGCGUGGGAACCUGCCCUUAGGUUCGGAAUAACUCCCCGAAAGGUGUGCUAAUACCGGAUAAUGUCUUCGGACCAAAGAUUUAUCGCCUUUGGAUGGGCCCGCGUUGGAUUAGCUAGUUGGUAGGGUAAAAGCCUACCAAGGCGACGAUCCAUAGCUGGUCUGAGAGGAUGAUCAGCCACACUGGGACUGAGACACGGCCCAGACUGCUACGGGAGGCAGCAGUGGGGAAUAUUGGACAAGGGGCGAAAGCCUGAUCCAGCAAUGCCGGGUGAGUGAUGAAGGCCUUAGGGUUGUAAAGCUCUUUUACACGGGAUGAUAAUGACAGUACCGGGAGAAUAAGCUCCGGCUAACUCCGUG